Drosophila virilis is the source of this 731-nucleotide non-coding RNA. The record is from RefSeq and is a predicted model, not a curated record. Lineage: Eukaryota; Metazoa; Arthropoda; Insecta; Diptera; Drosophilidae.
UCAGAUAGUCUGAAAAAAGGAGAAAAAUGAGAAAAACAAAGUGGAAAUAAAAAAGUGCUAAAAAGUUCUCGAAUUGCGACAUAAAACGGCAACAAAAACUGAAGACAGCCAGCCACGCCCACAUCUACAAUUGCCUUCGAGGGGUUGGGGGCGCGGUCUAAGAGCCUGUCUCAACUCCUUCACUGGCAGGCGCACCAUUAAUGAUGGAUGAUGAAUACUCGAGUCUUGAGUCCUGAGUGGCGACUCGACUGGCGGCUGUUGCGCACCGAAAAAUGAUUUGAUGAAAACAUUUGAAAUUUUUAUCGGGUGCAAAUUUAUGCAGAACUGUUGAUGUCAUCGCCAUUGCCCCUGUCCUCGCCCUCGCCCUCACCCUCACCCUGUGUUGGCCACAGAAAAAUGAUGACGAUGCGAGUGACGUUGAAAUAUGAAGCGACAUUACCUACUCCCAAAGGCGGUCGAAGCAGUAGCAGCAGCAGCAGCAACAGCAGCUCCCAAGCUCCUAGAGCUGAAACUAGGGGCUGCAAUGAUUGGCUUUUUUCUUGAGCGUGCCCCCCUCUAUAAGGGCCGUGGCAUUUUCUGGUGGGCGCAACGAAGCGCGUCUGUUAACUGGGCUUGGCCUUAGUCGAUAAGACGUUUUCUUUUUUUUUGUUGUUUGGGGGGAGGGCUUAAUUUUUAUUAACAUUAGAAGUGCACCUAAAAUUUGUAAUAAAUGACUUUGCAAUUGAUUGGAA